This 119-nucleotide ribosomal RNA is filed under the name Gadus morhua (Atlantic cod). Lineage: Eukaryota; Metazoa; Chordata; Actinopteri; Gadiformes; Gadidae. The record is from RNAcentral.
GCUUACGGCCAUACCACCUUAGGCACGCCCGAUCUCGUCUGAUCUCGGAAGCUAAGCAGGGUCGGGCCUGGUUAGUACUUGGAUGGGUGACCGCCUGGGAAUACCUGGUGCUGUAUGCA